AGUGAACGCUGGCGGUAGGCCUAACACAUGCAAGUCGAACGGCAGCACAGUAAGAGCUUGCUCUUACGGGUGGCGAGUGGCGGACGUGUGAGGAAUACAUCGGAAUCUACUUUUUCGUGGGGGAUAACGUAGGGAAACUUACGCUAAUACCGCAUACGACCUACGGGUGAAAGCAGGGGAUCUUCGGACCUUGCGCGAUUGAAUGAGCCGAUGUCGGAUUAGCUAGUUGGCGGGGUAAAGGCCCACCAAGGCGACGAUCCGUAGCUGGUCUGAGAGGAUGAUCAGGCACACUGGAACUGAGACACGGUCCAGAGUCCUACGGGAGGCAGCAGUGGGGAAUAUUGGACAAUGGGCGCAAGCCUGAUCCAGACAUACCGCGUGGGUGAAGAAGGCCUUGGGGUUGUAAAGCCCUUUUGUUGGGAAAGAAAAGCAGCAGGUUUAUACCCCGCUGUUCUGACGGUACCCAAAGAAUAAGCACCGGCUAACUUCGUG
Molecule: ribosomal RNA, 492 nt
Filed under: uncultured bacterium
Lineage: Bacteria
Description: partial 16S ribosomal RNA
Rfam family: Bacterial small subunit ribosomal RNA
Source: RNAcentral